This 460-nucleotide ribosomal RNA is filed under the name uncultured bacterium. RNAcentral's name for it is "partial 16S ribosomal RNA". It matches the Rfam family "Bacterial small subunit ribosomal RNA", at positions 338 to 795 of the family's 1533-position model. The record is from RNAcentral.
CCUACGGGUGGCAGCAGUGAGGAAUAUUGGUCAAUGGGCGCGAGCCUGAACCAGCCAAGUAGCGUGAAGGAUGACUGCCCUACGGGUUGUAAAUUUCUUUUAUAAAGGAAUAAAGUGAGGCACGUGUGCCUUUUUGUAUGUACUUUAUGAAUAAGGACCGGCUAACUCCGUGCCAGCAGCCGCGGUAAUACGGAGGAUACGAGCGUUAUCCGGAUUUAUUGGGUGUAAAGGGAGCGUAGAUGGGUUGUUAAGUCAGGUGUGAAAGUUUGCGGAUCAACCGUAAAAUUGCAAUUGAUACUGGCAGUCUUGAGUGCAGUUGAGGUAGGCGGAAUUCGUGGUGUAGCGGUGAAAUGCUUAGAUAGCACGAAGAACACCAAUUGCGAAGGCAGCUUACUAGACUGCCACUGACAUUGAUGCUCGAAAGUGUGGGUAGCAAACAGGAUUAGAUACCCCUGUAGUC